AUACGUAGGGUGCGAGCGUUGUCAGGAACUACUGGGCGUAAAGAGCUCGUAGGUGGUUUGUCGCGUCGUCUGUGAAAUUCCGGGGCUUAACUCCGGGCGUGCAGGCGAUACGGGCAUAACUUGAGUACUGUAGGGGAGACUGGAAUUCCUGGUGUAGCGGUGAAAUGCGCAGAUAUCAGGAGGAACACCGGUGGCGAAGGCGGGUCUCUGGGCAGUAACAGACGCUGAGGAGCGAAAGCAUGGGUAGCGAACAGGAUUAGAUACCCUGGUAGUCCAUGCCGUAAACGGUGGGCGCUAGGUGUAGGGGUCUUCCACGACUUCUGUGCCGUAGCUAACGCAUUAAGCGCCCCGCCUGGGGAGUACGGCCGCAAGGCUAAAACUCAAAGGAAUUGACGGGG
RNAcentral lists this ribosomal RNA (398 nucleotides) under uncultured bacterium. Its description in RNAcentral is "partial 16S ribosomal RNA". It matches the Rfam family "Bacterial small subunit ribosomal RNA", at positions 523 to 918 of the family's 1533-position model. The record is from RNAcentral.